UGGGGAAUAUUGGACAAUGGGGGCAACACUGAUCCAGCAAUACCGCGUGUGUGAAGAAGGCCUUAGGGUUGUAAAGCACUUUAGGCGGGGAAGAAGAUAACUAGUUUAAGAGAUGAGUUAUUUGACGGUACCCGCAGAAUAAGCACCGGCUAACUCUGUGCCAGCAGCCGCGGUAAUACAGAGGGUGCAAGCGUUAAUCGGAUUUACUGGGCGUAAAGGGCGCGUAGGUGGUUACGUAAGUGAGAUGUGAAAGCCCCGGGCUCAACCUGGGAACGGCAUCUUAUACUGCGUAGCUGGAGUACAGUAGAGGGUAGUGGAAUUUCCGGUGUAGCGGUGAAAUGCGUAGAUAUCGGAAGGAACACCAGUGGCGAAGGCGGCUACCUGGACUGAAACUGACACUGAGGCGCGAAAGCGUGGGGAGCAAACAGG
RNAcentral lists this ribosomal RNA (429 nucleotides) under uncultured bacterium. Its description in RNAcentral is "bacterial SSU rRNA". It matches the Rfam family "Bacterial small subunit ribosomal RNA", at positions 355 to 776 of the family's 1533-position model. The record is from RNAcentral.